UGAGUACAAGAUGCUACGGCAUUGAAGCAGUCUAUGUCAUACUUCCAAGAAAAGCUUGCAAUGUCAUAAACAAAUAAUGCCUGUACCAUAACCGACACAGGUGGGUAGGUAGAGUAUACUAAGGGGCGCGAGAUAACUCUCUCUAAGGAACUCGGCAAAAUGACUCCGUAACUUCGGGAGAAGGAGUACCUUAUUUUAUAAGGUUGCAAUAACAAGGUCCAAGCAACUAUUUACCAAAAACACAGGUCUCCGCUAAGUCGUAAGACGAUGUAUGGGGGCUGACGCCUGCCCAGUGCCAGAAGGUUAAAGAAGUUGGUUAGCAUUAGCGAAGCUGAUAACUGAAGCCCUGGUGAACGGCGGCCGUAACGAUAACGGUCCUAAGGUAGCGAAAUUCCUUGUCGGGUAAGUUCCGACCCGCACGAAAGGCGUAAUGAUUUGGAUACUGUCUCGGAGAGGGGCUCGGUGAAAUAGACUUGUCUGUGAAGAUGCGGACUACCUGCACCUGGACAGAAAGACCCUAUGAAGCUUUACUGUAACUUGAGAUUGAAAUUGGACUUUAUUUGCGCAGUAUAGGUGGGAGACCUCGAAAGUAUUCUUGCGGGAAUAUUGGAGUCAUCAGUGAGAUACCACUCUUAUAAUGUUAGAUUUCUAACUUUGUAUCAUUAUCUGGUCAAAGAACAGUUUCAGGCGGGCAGUUUGACUGGGGCGGUCGCCUCCCAAAUGGUAACGGAGGCGCACAAAGGUUUCCUCUGAACGUGUAGAAAUCGUAUCUAGAGUGUAAAGGCAUAAGGAAGCUUGACUGUGAGACCUACAAGUCGAGCAGGGACGAAAGUCGGUCUUAGUGAUCUGACGGUGCUGAGUGGAAAGGCCGUCACUCAACGGAUAAAAGUUACUCUAGGAUAACAGGCUGAUCUCCCCCAAGAGUUCACAUCGACGGGGAGGUUUGGCACCUCGAUGUCGGCUCAUCGCAUCCUGGGGCGGUAGUACGUCCCAAGGGUUGGGCUGUUCGCCCAUGAAAGCGGUACGCGAGCUGGGUUCAGAACGUCGUGAGACAGUUCGGUCCAUAUCCGGUGUAGGCGUUAGAAUAUUGAGAGGAGCCUUCUUUAGUACGAGAGGACCGAGAAGGACAUACCUCUGGUGUACCAGUUAUCGUGCCAACGGUAAACGCUGGGUAGCUAUGUAUGGAGAGGAUAACCGCUGAAAGCAUCUAAGUGGGAAGCCCACCUCAAGAUAAGUAUUCAC
RNAcentral lists this ribosomal RNA (1242 nucleotides) under metagenome. RNAcentral describes it as "bacterial LSU rRNA". It matches the Rfam family "Bacterial large subunit ribosomal RNA", at positions 1564 to 2815 of the family's 2925-position model. The record is from RNAcentral.